Cannabis sativa is the source of this 2038-nucleotide RNA transcript. RefSeq lists it as uncharacterized. Lineage: Eukaryota; Viridiplantae; Streptophyta; Magnoliopsida; Rosales; Cannabaceae. The transcript has 5 exons. The record is from RefSeq and is a predicted model, not a curated record.
UAUUGCGAUUGACCUUUAUUCGAUCUUCUCUCUCAAACCCAAACCUACAUCGAUUGAUCCGUAGACAUUCUUCACCCCUUUGAUUUCAAUUGCAUUGAAGAAGGAACAAUUGAAGCUGAUUUAAUCACUUCUCCAAUGGUGGUGGUGAUAGGAUUCAUUGAGUUUUAUUUCUCUGAAGGAUGGAGAAGCAGGCGAGAGAGUAUUAAUGGAGAUUCUAAGAGUGCGAUGCACUGUUCCAAAGGACAUCGUACAAUUUGAUAUGGCCAUUUUCUCUUCUACAGAGUCGGAGGAGCUCUAUCGCCUUAUCAAUUCGAAUGUUAAGCAUUUUUAGCACCUAUAAUGCGGUAAACUAGCCUUUUCGUAUCUCCGUACAUUUAUUGUUGAUACGAUUCGAUUGUGACUCGCUAUUAUAAUUGGGUAUAGAAAAAAAAUAAUUCAAAAUCAGCUGCUCAUAAUAUAACUGAAGACCGCCUUCAAGAAGAAAAUGUAAAAAGAUAAUUUAUUAGCUAUAUAAAUUUGAGAGGAUAAUGGGUUUACAAAAGAUUCCUUUUUUUAUUAUGAUCCAUUGUAAUUGUUCUAAGUUUAAUAUUUGGGUAACUGAUAUCAAAGCACAUUAAGCGAAGCCUUGUACAAGCUAUUGUCGAAAAGGAGCCCUAUGAGGGAAUAGUUUUGUAUUUGGAAAAAGUGACCCACAAAGUUUAUUUCAACAUAGAGAUCGAGGAAAAGCCCAUUGGUUGCAUAAUUAUGGGUAUUUUUGGAGAAGCAGUUCCUAAAACCAUUGGUAGGCUUUUCUUUUUUUUUUUUGAAGGGACCAUUGGUGGGCUUCUAAAUACAAUUUAAGUAGUAUAUUUCUUAACAUUGUUGUAAUCAAAUUGUUCAUUGUUCUGUACAUAGUCACUAAUUUUAUACUAUUGGUUUUUCUUAUUGUUCUUCUUAUUAUGAUAGAAUUGAUCAUUGAAUAUCUUUUCUCACAUUAAUUUGAUUGAACUAAAAUACUUAUCUUUCAUUGUACGCAUUUAAUCUUGAUUCAUACUGCUCUCAAACUAUGCAAUUUUUUUUUUAAAUUAAAAUUACAUGUAUAUGUUUAUCCAAAUGAGAUAUCCUCUUUUAAAAUUGAAACGAAAUAGGGACCCUUCCGUCUGGUUGGUUCUCCUAUUCACUGUUUUAGGGGUGAGUGGUUGCUUUACCAAUCACGCUUUCUCUAAAACUAUUGUAGUUAAUGGAGCAUGAUCGGGACCUUUUUGGCUUCAAGCAGAUAAAUUUAAAUUACCUUUCUCGUUAUUAUAUUCAUAAAAGCUAAACAAUAUAUAUAGUUGGUCUUCACCCAUUAUUAUUAAUGGUGUUGCCACUUUAAAUAGAUGUGAGUAAGGAAUUAGAAAAGUAAUCCUUCAAAUCAUUGUAUUAAUUGAUCGAUUCUUGUAACUUUUGAUCUUUUUCUGUUUAAAAUCUUGCAUGGAAUGAUACAAUCUACAAAGCAGAGCUUGAAUUGUCUUCUUGGAGCACCAGAGUAUUAUCAAGAUCUGAACCUGGAUCUCUUUCUAUGAUUCUUUAGCGCUGAAACUCCUUCUUGCUGAAAGUCUUUCUUCACGAUCUUCCUCACUAUGAUUGAGGUAUCACUUGUUGUGUGUGGGCACUACUCUAAUCACUAAGUAUUUCGAAAUCUUAAGGAAGAAAAGAGAGAGGGAGUGGACGGCCAGAUAGAGAGAGAGAGGCUCAGGUUUUUCUGAAUGAAAAGUGUAAUUUUCCUGAAGCCUUCACUAUCUAUUUAUAGCAUUCCACUAGGGUUAGGUUUGAAUUAUUUGGCAUUAAAAUAAUGAAAAUAUCAGAGGAUAAUUCCUAUAAAAGUGGCCAGCCAUGGCAGUAUGGAUUUGGGCCUCACUUUUUGCAAUUUUGCAGUUUUAUCACUUUUGCAUCUGAUUUUCUCAAAAAACGCCAAUUUUCUAAUUCAACCAUUUAAAUGCCAAUUCUAACUAUUUAAUAACUAUAAAUAAUUAUUAAAUAAUAUUGUCAUUUAUCAUAUUUAUUAAUUGAACCAUAC